This 499-nucleotide ribosomal RNA is filed under the name uncultured bacterium. RNAcentral's name for it is "SSU rRNA". It matches the Rfam family "Bacterial small subunit ribosomal RNA", at positions 26 to 521 of the family's 1533-position model. The record is from RNAcentral.
AGGACGAACGCUGGCGGCGUGCUUAACACAUGCAAGUCGAGCGGAAAGGCCCUUCGGGGUACUCGAGCGGCGAACGGGUGAGUAACACGUGAGCAACCUGCCCUUAGCUCCGGGAUAGCUCCGGGAAACCGGAAUUAAUACCGGAUACGACCACGGCCGACAUCUGCUGUGGUGGAAAGGAUUCCGGCUAAGGAUGGGCUCGCGGCCUAUCAGCUAGUUGGUGGAGUAACGGCCCACCAAGGCGACGACGGGUAGCCGGCCUGAGAGGGCGACCGGCCACACUGGGACUGAGACACGGCCCAGACUCCUACGGGAGGCAGCAGUGGGGAAUAUUGCGCAAUGGAGGAAACUCUGACGCAGCGACGCCGCGUGGGUGAUGAAGGCCUUCGGGUCGUAAAGCCCUGUCGGAGGGAAGAAAAGCGGUUUGGCUAAUAUCCAAGCCGCUCUUGACGGUACCCUCAAAGGAAGCACCGGCUAACUCCGCGCCAGCAGCCGCGGU